GAUGAACGCUAGCGGCAGGCCUAAUACAUGCAAGUCGAACGGAGCAGCAAUGCUUAGUGGCGCACGGGUGCGUAACGCGUAUGAAACCUGCCCUUCACUGGGGGAUAACCUCUCGAAAGAGAGGCUAAUACCGCAUAAGAUAGUAGAGUGGCAUCACUUAGCUAUUAAAACUCCGGUGGUGAAGGAUGGUCAUGCGUCCAAUUAGUUAGUUGGUAGGGUAACGGCCUACCAAGACGAUGAUUGGUAGGGGGUCUGAGAGGAUGAUCCCCCACACUGGUACUGAGAUACGGACCAGACUCCUACGGGAGGCAGCAGUAGGGAAUAUUGGUCAAUGGAGGCAACUCUGAACCAGCCAUGCCGCGUGCAGGAAGAAGGCCUUCGGGUUGUAAAC
Molecule: ribosomal RNA, 391 nt
Filed under: uncultured bacterium
Lineage: Bacteria
Description: bacterial SSU rRNA
Rfam family: Bacterial small subunit ribosomal RNA
Source: RNAcentral